CCCUUAGAUGUUCUGGGCCGCACGCGCGCUACACUGAUGCAUUCAACGAGUUUCUUCCUGGUCCGAGAGGAAUGGGUAACCUUUUGAAAGUGCAUCGUGAUAGGGAUAGAUUAUUGCAAUUAUUGGUCUUCAACGAGGAAUUCCUAGUAGACGUAGUUCAUCAGACUGCAUCGAUUACGUCCCUGCCCUUUGUACACACCGCCCGUCGCUCCUACCGAUUGAAUGCUCAGGUGAGCCAUUCGGACUUUCAUCAUGCUGGUCUCCAGUUUUGAUGAAGGAAAGUCUUGCGAACCUUAUCAUUUAGAGGAAGGAGAAGUCGUAACA
Molecule: ribosomal RNA, 324 nt
Filed under: uncultured eukaryote
Lineage: Eukaryota
Description: partial 18S ribosomal RNA
Rfam family: Eukaryotic small subunit ribosomal RNA
Source: RNAcentral